Cannabis sativa is the source of this 179-nucleotide long non-coding RNA. RefSeq lists it as uncharacterized. The transcript has 2 exons. The record is from RefSeq and is a predicted model, not a curated record. Lineage: Eukaryota; Viridiplantae; Streptophyta; Magnoliopsida; Rosales; Cannabaceae.
AUGUGCUUGCGAAAUUUCGAAAGUUUGAAGUGGAUAGGAGGUGCAUGGCAUCGUUGCGACCGUUGCGAGAAGUUGAGGGAUCCAUCAUUGACUGUUUUUCUAUACUAAUGAACAAGUACGAACGUGAUAGUCGAUUACCUGACCAACCUCGUGUUUGGUACAUGCCCACUCGCAUCUCG